Molecule: ribosomal RNA, 497 nt
Filed under: uncultured bacterium
Lineage: Bacteria
Description: partial 16S ribosomal RNA
Rfam family: Bacterial small subunit ribosomal RNA
Source: RNAcentral
GAUGGACGCUGGCGGCGUGCCUAAUACAUGCAAGUCGAGCGAACAGACGAGGAGCUUGCUCCUCUGACGUUAGCGGCGGACGGGUGAGUAACACGUGGAUAACCUACCUAUAAGACUGGGAUAACUUCGGGAAACCGGAGCUAAUACCGGAUAAUAUAUUGAACCGCAUGGUUCAAUAGUGAAAGACGGUUUUGCUGUCACUUAUAGAUGGAUCCGCGCCGCAUUAGCUAGUUGGUAAGGUAACGGCUUACCAAGGCAACGAUGCGUAGCCGACCUGAGAGGGUGAUCGGCCACACUGGAGCUGAGACACGGUCCAGACUCCUACGGGAGGCAGCAGUAGGGAAUCUUCCGCAAUGGGCGAAAGCCUGACGGAGCAACGCCGCGUGAGUGAUGAAGGUCUUCGGAUCGUAAAACUCUGUUAUUAGGGAAGAACAAAUGUGUAAGUAACUAUGCACGUCUUGACGGUACCUAAUCAGAAAGCCACGGCUAACUACGUG